Molecule: non-coding RNA, 2892 nt
Organism: Phoenix dactylifera (date palm)
Lineage: Eukaryota; Viridiplantae; Streptophyta; Magnoliopsida; Arecales; Arecaceae
Source: RefSeq, a predicted model, not a curated record
UUUAAUGGAUGGCCCACAGCUGAAGGACAGUGCUGGUUUUCUGUGUGAAGGGGUAAGAAUUAACAAAUUGCAACCAGAAGAAGACAAAAACUGUACAAGGGAAAGAGAGGAGCAGGUGGAACUUGCUGAAGUCAAAAAACAGUCUAUACCAGAAGGAACUGAACUGCAUGUGGAGGUUAAUGGGUUAGUUCAUGAAUGUCCUAAUGUGGCUGAAAACCCAGGUGUCUUGUCAGAACCCUCUGAUAUUGAGAACCACAUUAAAGUACUCCCUGACCACGAAUCAAGUGACAAUUUAAGACCACCUGCACUUGAUAAUCUCUCAAUAAAUUCUCCAGACACUGAUACUCAGCAGUCCAACCCAAUCACUUCAAAUGAGCAUUGUAUUAAUCAGGAAUUAACCUCUGCAUUGGGUGGAAAUGGAGAACAGAAUGAGCACAUUCAUCAGGAAUCAACCGUUGUAUCAAAUGGAAACAAAGAACAGGGUGGGGGAAAUGCAGAUGAGGUCUCAGCAAUUCAUGAACCCGAUAUGCAAGACAUGAAAUCAAACACACCCUCUCGGGCAUGUCUUCAAAAUGAUGACAGUUCUUUGCAUCCAGCUAGUGACUUGGAUCCUUCAGAAUCAGAAACAAACUCACAGCUCCAAAUGCAAGCCCAGUCACAAACUAAUUCACAUCGAGAUUCACCUGCUGGUGGUGCAUUUCCUCAAAAUUCCGGCAGUGCAGGAAAGUGGUUUCAGAUGCAUUAUGGCAUGCAUGCCUCUGAAGAUUCCAGUACCAGUUCCCGUGGUUAUGUUCAAGCUUCACAGUCUCAACAGUGGCAGGUUCAUGCACAGUUGCAAUCCCCUCCUGCCUCAAACUCACAAAUGCUCAUAACUCAUGGUUAUCCAUUUCAGCCUCAGGCUUCAAGUAAUGCACGGGAUCAGCAAGCUAACCAAACCCAAGGUCAAUAUCACAUGGCUGCUGCUCAAGCUUACCCAACUGGAAACCUUUCCUGGCCUGGACAAAAUAUUCAGCAGCAGGGUUUUGUAUAUAUACAGCCGCAAUUAAGCACCCAUACUACUUCUCAACCUCAAUCUGAAGUUUAUCAGCAAUCUGUCCAGGCUAACGAACAGUACAGGUAUUCUCAAAGUUACCAAGGAUUUGCGCCUCAUAUCUGGCAGUACUAUCAGCAACAUCUGUAUUAUCUGCAGCAGCAGCAGCAGCAAAUUCAGAACCAUCUGCAGCAGCAGCAGCAGAAUGAACAACCGCAGCAACUGCGGCAAAAGCACUAUCAGCAGCAGCAGCAGCAGCAGGAGCAGCAUCCAGAGAAUCAACAAUUGUUGCUUCAAGCACAGCAGCAGUCAAAUAACCAACAGGAGUCACAGCAGCACCUCUCACCAGAGCAAAAUCAAAACCUAGAACUCCAGCAGCAACAGCAAGCAUCCCAAUUUCAGCAACAGAACCUGCAGAUGCACUCCACACAACAACAGCAGCAGCAGCUUCUAUACAUUCAACAACAGCAACACCUGUAUUUCCAGCAGCUAUACCACCAGCAGCAGCUGCUCCAGCAACAAUUACUCCAACGGCAGCAGCAACAGCAAUACCAACAACAGGCACAACAGUUAAAUACACAGCUGCAGCAACAGCCACAGCAACCACUUCAGCAGCAGCAGCAGCAGCAGCAACAACAACAACAGCCCCAGCUACUUCAACAGCAACAACAACAACCCCAACUACUUCAACAGCAGCCGCAACAGCCAGACCUACUUCAGCAGCAGCAGCCACACCUACUUCAGCAGCAGCAGCAGCAGCAACACCUACUGCAGCAGAGGCAACAGCAACAGCCACACCUACUUCAGCAGCAGCAGCAACAGCCACACCUACUUCAGCAGCAGCAGCAACAAGAGUUACUCCAGCAGCAGCAGCAGCAGCAACUAUUGCUGUUCCAGCAGCAGCAGCAGCAGCUUUACCAGCUCCAGCAGCAGCAGCAGCAAACCAGUGCUUCAGAACUUGAAGCUUUAAACGUCACUUACUACCUUCAGACUGUUCCUAUGCAAUAUGGAAACAAUCAACAAAGGCAGGAUCUUGGCCAGGAGGCUGAGACAUCCCAGGGUGAAGGGGCUAAUCUGCAGACUGCCGAACAGUCUGGUUCUUCUUAUCCCUCCACACCACAGAAGGGUUCCACAAAGCAGUAAAUUGACCAGCAAAUGCACUAAUCUACUGGUUGUUCCCUUAGAACUCAAAGGGAGGCAGGAGGCCGGCGAGAUGGAGGCCUUUUGGAGGAUUUUGUGUCAAGUCGUAUACACUGGCAAGCCUUGGCCUGAUUGGUCUAAUGGGUCUGGUUUAGUUCAUAAAUUGAGGAUGAAAUGGAGGAAGACAUCUUUUUCGACUAUUUUCCUCUGUAAUCAACUCGAUCCGUUUGGGGUGAACGCACGUAUGGUUCAUUUAUAGCUUAACCGAAGCAACAGAGUCUACAAUCUUUGGGUUCAUCAGUAACAUAAGAUUCCUUGUCAGGGACUGGGGAGGACGGAGCCACCCAACCCACUCGAAGCCGGAAGCUUGUUCUCGUGCAUUCCGGGUCUAUGCUCGUGGGACCAGGACUAUUGCAACGGCAGAUUUAAAAUGAACUCGGAUUGUCCUCCGAAUCAAUUCCCCGACGUGUCGUCUGGUAGGCUCGUACCAUCCGAGCUAACAAUCUGUAAGUGAUUAACUAAUUCUGUAGUAGAGAAUCCUAAUACACUUCCUUUUUAUACGCCACCGAUUAUUUGUUUUUGUGAUAACGUAAUGUCACUUUCAGCAUUCAAUUUGAUUUGAUUGUACCCAUACCAAGGGGGACAGAAUGAAUGCGUGGGAUGGAAAAUAUAGCAUCCAAACUGACACGUAGAAAUGCAUCCUCAGCCUAUAUCCUUCUUUC